AGCUUUGCGCAGUGGCAGUAUCGUAGCCAAUGAGGUUUAUCUGAGGUGCGACUAUUGCUAAUUAAGUAAAGCAUGAACCAACAGUGCGUAGUUUGAGAAAACACAUGAUGAG
Molecule: small nuclear RNA, 112 nt
Filed under: Octodon degus (degu)
Lineage: Eukaryota; Metazoa; Chordata; Mammalia; Rodentia; Octodontidae
Description: U4 spliceosomal RNA (ENSODEG00000025718.1)
Rfam family: U4 spliceosomal RNA (bases 1-65)
About the family: U4 small nuclear RNA (U4 snRNA) is a component of the major U2-dependent spliceosome. The structure of U4 snRNA from yeast and human has been reported.
Source: RNAcentral